Long non-coding RNA from Salvia miltiorrhiza (redroot sage), 601 nucleotides. RefSeq lists it as uncharacterized. NCBI's taxonomy places the organism in Eukaryota, Viridiplantae, Streptophyta, Magnoliopsida, Lamiales, Lamiaceae. The record is from RefSeq and is a predicted model, not a curated record. The transcript is spliced from 2 exons.
UUUACCCUAUUUGAAAAAGGAAACAUAAAAUGUACCCACCCCAAAAUAAACAUAUAAAAUGUACCCAAUUGAGUGUUGAAAAGACUAGCAUGCCCUUAUUUUUCUUUUUGUUUUAUUUUUGUUUUUCACAUUUAUUUAAUGCCAUUAUGUUUCUUUUUCUUUUAAUUUUCGAUUUUCACAUUUGAAGGCUGAGUAAAACGAAAAUUGGUUGCUGCAACUUCAACAUUAAACACAAAACCAAAACACUUUUGAAAUAUUCAUCUUCAAAACCCCCAAAACUUCUUCAAUUGUGGGUUUCUUCAAUUCGAUCAUAAUCCGGUGGUUUGAAAGAUGAGCCAAUUAUGUAUGGUUGUAUCAUAUGGUGGUUCAUGGAAUAACGACAAGUAUGAGGGGGGCAUCGUGAAUAUCUCCGUUUUCCAUCAUCGGGCAUGACAUUCAACACAUUAGUAAGUCGGAUUCAAGGGAUUGUUUGUUUAGAUACAAAUAUUUAUGAUUAUUGGAUAUAUUCAUAUAUGAAAACUCCGGAAGAUGAAACUUUGAGAAUCAAGAUACUAGAUGAUGAUGAUUUAAAAUUAGUGAUUGAUUCUUUUCAAGUGCCGAA